This 254-nucleotide ribosomal RNA is filed under the name uncultured bacterium. RNAcentral's name for it is "partial 16S ribosomal RNA". It matches the Rfam family "Bacterial small subunit ribosomal RNA", at positions 524 to 776 of the family's 1533-position model. The record is from RNAcentral.
UACGGAGGGUGCAAGCGUUGUUCGGAAUUAUUGGGCGUAAAGCGUGCGCAGGCGGUUUUGUAAGUCUGUCGUGAAAGCCCCGGGCUCAACCUGGGAAUUGCGAUGGAGACUGCAAGGCUUGAAUCUGGCAGAGGGGGGUAGAAUUCCACGUGUAGCAGUGAAAUGCGUAGAGAUGUGGAGGAACACCGAUGGCGAAGGCAGCCCCCUGGGUCAAGAUUGACGCUCAUGCACGAAAGCGUGGGGGAGCAAACAGG